Long non-coding RNA from Vidua macroura (Pin-tailed whydah), 139 nucleotides. RefSeq lists it as uncharacterized. The record is from RefSeq and is a predicted model, not a curated record. The transcript has 3 exons. Lineage: Eukaryota; Metazoa; Chordata; Aves; Passeriformes; Viduidae.
CGGGAUCGGGAUCGGGAUCGGGAUCGCACAGGACCCCUCGGGAUGCGGCUCCUGCUGCUGCUGCUGCUCCUGCCCGCGGCCACAGGUGCGCGGGUGCCCAGGUGGGUGCUGGAGGGCCACACCUGUGCCCCGCCCUGGC